AGCGAACGCUGGCGGCAGGCCUAACACAUGCAAGUCGAACGAACCGGUCGGGCUUAGUGGCGGACGGGGGAGUAACACGUGGGAACUUGCCUGUAGGUACGCAGUAACUCAGGGAAAGAUGUGCUAAGACCGAAUGUGCUCUUCGCGGGAAAGAGUUUUGGCCGUUGGAGCGGCCCGGGUCUGAUUCGCUGGUUGGGGGAGGAAACGGGUCACCUAGGCGUGGAGCAGUAGUUGGUGUGUGAGGAGGCUCAGCCACAUUGGGACAGGGACACGGCCCAAACGCGUGCGAGAGGCAGCAGUGGGGAAUCAUGGGCAAUGGGCGAAAGCCUGAAGCAGCCCGGCCGGGUGAAUGAUGAAGGUGUUAGGAUUGUAAAAUUCUUUCGCCGGGGAGGAUAAGGACGGUACCCGUAGAAGAAGCCCCGGUAACCUUCGU
This 433-nucleotide ribosomal RNA is filed under the name uncultured bacterium. Its description in RNAcentral is "partial 16S ribosomal RNA". It matches the Rfam family "Bacterial small subunit ribosomal RNA", at positions 30 to 506 of the family's 1533-position model. The record is from RNAcentral.